AACCUUAAAAACAUACUAUUGCAGCAGUUGUAGCUAUGGUUACAAUGAAUGCAUCUGACACUAUGGCAUGUCCCUGUUAGGAUCUCCAUCAAUUGCAGAAGUAUAUGUUGAGAUUCCGACUUAAAGAUCUAGUUACGGGUCUGAGAACAGGAAAAUCUUCCUCUAGCCACAUAGAUUUUCCCCUGUUUGUGUUCUUCACUCUGCGGAAAGAACCUAUGGUUGCCGGUGAAUUAUAAUGGGGCUCGUUUAGAGGGAGCACCCAUCUCAAAGAAAUAAGAAUUGUUUGAUAAUCUGCUUUUUUUUUUCCUCUCCCCGUUGAUACAAUAGUACUACCUUAUAAUAGAAGGCUACAAAGAUCUUAAAAGGAAAUAGAAAUAAAUUAGAAAUCUUAACUAACAAGAGGCCUAACAAAUAACAGAAUUAUUAGGAGAUAAGAUUCUGAAACGGAAGGAUAAGUAUUCAGCCAACUGUUUUUCUUGAUCAAGCCUUUGUCUCUGCCCGAAAAUCAUUCAGCCAGUUGCUCCAUCGAUCCAGCCUCUGUCCUUGCUCGAGUCUUGCACUUUCCAUAAACUUUCCCCACAAAUGAGUCCCUAACAUCACUCCCCGCCUGGACAAAGAGCUUGUCCUUAAGCUCAAAGUUUGGAUAAGCACUUCGGAUAUCCAUGACAGACUCCCAUGUAGCUUCAAUGAUGGGCAGGCCGCACCAUUGCACCAGGACCUCCCACAAGCCCCUAUUGAGACGAGCACAGAGAAUGGUUUGAGGUAUAGGAACUGUCUUGCCAUUAACC
RNAcentral lists this long non-coding RNA (788 nucleotides) under Elaeis guineensis (African oil palm). Its description in RNAcentral is "long non-coding RNA (EGUI_LNC037547)". The record is from RNAcentral. Lineage: Eukaryota; Viridiplantae; Streptophyta; Magnoliopsida; Arecales; Arecaceae.